RNAcentral lists this ribosomal RNA (252 nucleotides) under uncultured bacterium. RNAcentral's name for it is "partial 16S ribosomal RNA". It matches the Rfam family "Bacterial small subunit ribosomal RNA", at positions 524 to 776 of the family's 1533-position model. The record is from RNAcentral.
UACGUAUGGGGCAAGCGUUAUCCGGAUUUACUGGGCGUAAAGCGAGCGCAGGUGGUUUAUUAAGUCUGGUGUAAAAGGCAGUGGCUCAACCAUUGUAUGCAUUGGAAACUGGUAGACUUGAGUGCAGGAGAGGAGAGUGGAAUUCCAUGUGUAGCGGUGAAAUGCGUAGAUAUAUGGAGGAACACCGGUGGCGAAAGCGGCUCUCUGGCCUGUAACUGACACUGAGGCUCGAAAGCGUGGGGAGCAAACAGG